Molecule: ribosomal RNA, 460 nt
Filed under: uncultured bacterium
Lineage: Bacteria
Description: partial 16S ribosomal RNA
Rfam family: Bacterial small subunit ribosomal RNA
Source: RNAcentral
CCUACGGGAGGCUGCAGUGAGGAAUAUUGGUCAAUGGACGAGAGUCUGAACCAGCCAAGUAGCGUGAAGGAUGACUGCCCUAUGGGUUGUAAACUUCUUUUAUAGGGGAAUAAAAUGUGCCACGUGUGGGAUUUUGUAUGUACCAUAUGAAUAAGGAUCGGCUAACUCCGUGCAAGCAGCCGCGGUAAUACGGAGGAACCGAGCGUUAACCGGAUUUAUUGGGUUUAAAGGGAGCGUAGGUGGAUUGUUAAGUCAGUUGUGAAAGUUUGCGGCUCAACCGCAAAACUGCAGUUGAAACUGGCAGUCUUGAGUACCGUAGAGGUGAGCGGAAUUCGUGGUGUAGCGGUGAAAUGCUUAGAUAUCACGAAGAACUCCGAUUGCGAAGGCAGCUCACUGGACUGCAACUGACACUGAGGCUCGAAAGUGUGGGUAUCAAACAGGAUUAGAUACCCGAGUAGUC